Long non-coding RNA from Ictalurus punctatus (channel catfish), 1773 nucleotides. NCBI's taxonomy places the organism in Eukaryota, Metazoa, Chordata, Actinopteri, Siluriformes, Ictaluridae. The record is from Ensembl.
GGAUUCAGGAGUGAAGCUGCUCUCUGCUGGACUGGAGAAUCCACACUGUACACUGGAGAUACUGAGGCACACACACACACACACACACACACACACACACACACACACACACAAACUCACACACACAGAGCAGAAUUUUAAUAAACACAACUACAUAUAGUUUCCAUCUGUGGUGAGUGUAAUUGUAGUGAUGUGAUAUAUUGUCAUUGUUGUGUGUGUGAGAUGGAGAGUAAAUGUUCUUUAUAUAAAGAUUUUGUGUAGUUGAUGUUUUCAGAGCUAAAACUGAGUGUGUUAAGUGUGAGAAGGAUUUUUGUGUUGCAGGAUGAUUAAAUGCAGUAUUACAGAUGAAGGUUUCGCUGCUCUGGCUUCAGCUCUGAGGUCAAACUCCUCAUCACACCUGAGAGAACUGAAUCUGAACGGUAAUAAUCCAGGAGAAUCAGGAGUGAAGCUGCUCUCUGAUCUACUGAAGGAUCCACACUGUAAACUGGAGACAUUAUACAUUAAGGAUAAUAAACUCACCAGGACCGGCGUUUGACAGGAGUCUCACCUCAAACCUCUUCUCCAGGAUAAGGCAGUUUUGGUGAAGAGUUAGAACCCGUCCCACAUUUCCAGCAGUUUGGGAGCUGAAUCAUUAAACUUAAAGGGACAGAGCAGAUAUAAAGUCAAGAACAGGCAGAAGGUCAUACACAGGAGAAAUCAACACACGUAACGAAAUAUCUGCUGUACAAAGCAACGGCAACGAUCUACCCUGGGGAUGGAGACUGACGAUGCUCAAGUACAUGUCUGGUCACAGACUGAUCCCAAAGCACGAGGCAGGAGCAGGCAUGUUAAUGGUAAAUGGUCUGCAGUUAUAUAGCACUUUUUUAACCUUAGUGGUUCCAAAGCACUUUACACUGUUUCACAUUCAUGAGGCUUGUGCCAAAGAGUAGAUGUGAAAAUACAGUGGAAAAUUUCCCUUGCAACCUGCCAACCUUUGCUGUGUCAUGAACACAGUGUCUUCGUCAACCCAGGAGAUGAUUUAGAAAAGUGCCUAUGCAACAGUGUGUUCAGCAUGCAUGGAGGCACUGUAUUUAUACACAGUGUUGCAUGAAAUAACAACAGAAAUAACACAAAUCAAUACCCUCAUGCACAUCUCUCUAAUGGCCUGAUUAGGUCCAUAUCAAUUAUUUCAACUGCAAACUUGAAUAAAGGUAAUGGGCACAAUGGUGCUAUUGGGGUGGCCAUUGGAUUUUGCAGCUGAAAUUAGUAUCCUGGUAACAAUUGCUUCCACAGCUCCUUUUUGAUGUACCAGUCAACUUAACACUACCCAUAUGAGUUGAUGCUUGGCCAAAAACCUAAGCUACCAGUGGAUAGUUUGCUUGUUGGUAAUGAAGAACGGGAAGGAGAUGGUGCCCAUUCAGAUUGGGUCACCCAACACCAAAAGUAUUUGACCUCCAUUUAUUCCAGUUCCUGAAGGUACUUGGAGACUGUGGUCAUUCACCGUAGGACCAAUUGCCCUGACUCAGUAGCAAUACUACCCCCUGGCACUUUAGUGUAUUGUAAGGAUCAUUUCAUGGUUGCCAUAAGAUUCAGGAUGUCUGGCACUCCACUGUGUUUGAGAUUGUGGCCUACAUUGAUGAAGUGGGAACGCUGUAUAAGAUCAGACCACAUGGAGAAGAUGGCCCCAUUAAAACUGUCCAUUGCUCAGAACUUAAGCCUAUUCUUACCUGGCAAAAAUAUGCCAGGUAAACCAAUGGGUCAGGUCUACUGGCCCUUUCCAGCCCCAGGAGUGAG